CCUACGGGUGGCAGCAGUGGGGAAUAUUGGGCAAUGGGCGCAAGCCUGACCCAGCAACGCCGCGUGAAGGAUGAAGGCUUUAGGGUUGUAAACUUCUUUUUUCAGAGAAGUAUAGAAAACGGUACCUGACGAAUAAUCAACGGCUAACUACGUACCAGCAGCCGCGGUAAUACGUAGGUGGCAGGCGUUGUCCGGAUUUACUGGGUUUAAAGGGCGUGUAGCCGGGUUGACAAGUCAGAUGUGAAAUCUUGCGGCUUAACCGGAGAACUGCAUUUGAAACUGGUGAUCUUGAGUACUGGAGAGGCAGACGGAAUUCGUAGUGUAGCGGUGAAAUGCGUAGAUAUUAGGAGGAACACCAGUGGCGAAGGCGGUCUGCUAGACAGCAACUGACAGUGAGGCGCGAAAGCGUGGGUAGCAAACAGGAUUAGAUACCCUAGUAGUC
Molecule: ribosomal RNA, 442 nt
Filed under: uncultured bacterium
Lineage: Bacteria
Description: partial 16S ribosomal RNA
Rfam family: Bacterial small subunit ribosomal RNA
Source: RNAcentral